GUGAGGAAUUUUCCGCAAUGGGCGAAAGCCUGACGGAGCAAUGCCGCGUGAAGGAUGAAGGCCUAUGGGUUGUAAACUUCUUUUCUCAGAAAAGAAUUAUGACGGUAUCUGAGGAAUAAGCAUCGGCUAACUCUGUGCCAGCAGCCGCGGUAAGACAGAGGAUGCAAGCGUGAUCCGGAAUGAUUGGGCGUAAAGCGUCUGUAGGUUGUUUAAAAAGUAUUCUGUCAAAGAUUAGGGCUUAACCCUAGAUAGGCAGAAUAAACUUUUAAGCUAGAGUUUGGUAGAGGCAGAGGGAAUUCCCGGUGGAGCGGUGAAAUGCGUAGAUAUCGGGAGGAACACCAAAGGCGAAGGCACUCUGCUGGGCCAAUACUAACACUGAGAGACGAAAGCGAGGGGAGCAAAUGGGAUUAGAUACCCUAGUAGUCC
Molecule: ribosomal RNA, 426 nt
Filed under: uncultured bacterium
Lineage: Bacteria
Description: partial 16S ribosomal RNA
Rfam family: Bacterial small subunit ribosomal RNA
Source: RNAcentral